CAGAAGCUACAAAUUUAAUCAGGAAAACUGUCAUCGGUGAAAAUGGUACUUCUCAUCGUGGUCAGGAAAACCUGAAAUGGAAAUAAUAUCUUUCCAUCUCACUUAAUAUUCACUGCCAAAUAUUUCAGGCAUCUUAGAGCUAUUCUUGAUUAUUUUCAUCACUCCUUUUCAGUGAAUUUUAUUUCCUUGUUCUUGUAAAUUAUGGAAAAAUAUAGCAUAGUUCUAUAUGAAAGUACUACAGUUGAUACAGUUGAUACAUAUAUGAAAGUAUGUAUCAAGCAAGAGGUCAAGUUCUUAUUGUAUCUUGCCUAAGCCUUGAUAAGAAAUUUUUGAAGUUAUUUUGAUAUUAAAUGAAGGAGGCCGCUUAUGCAAAUUUAUUUCAGAGAAGAAGAACUGAUAGAAAAAAAUUCAAAAUAUUCUAUUCUCUUUUCUCCUAUUUCUGGACUUUUAUUUGAAUCACAAACUGGUAUGAAAUGGAUAUUUUGCUAUUUAAGGACAAAAGAGAGACAGAAAUUAAUAGCUCAUUAUAAUUUAAAAAAAUGCAAUAGUCGUGUGCACACAAGCAUGAGAUUCCUGCAUUUUCAGAUAUGCUAGAAAUGCCCGCAAGUCGGGUUUCCAAUAUUGCACCAUUGAAUGUAAGGAAACUCAUGGGGAUUUUUAUUUUGAAGUCGGCACAAAUGUUAAAAUUGAUCAUACCUUGAUAGGUUUCCUUGAGAGACCAAUAAGUUGAUCUGUAAAUAAUGUAGGUCUCAUUUUCAUCAGUUUUUAUACACACCAAGUGAUUCAGGGCUGUAUUUAUAGACAUUCUCCAAGCAGUUCCUUUCCUUAGAAAACAACAUAUGGUUUGCUUGAUGAUCAACGGAGGUUUAAUGUUGUCCCUUGAAGGGGCAUCAUAAAAAGGACAGUUUUAACGAACCUCUAUUAAAAUUCAAUAGUAUAUUAAUGGAAAUAGACCCUUGCAAGGGAUCAAAAUGAUAUUCAUCCAAAAAAUCAAAAUACCAAAGAUAAAAAUGUUGAGCUCUUUAAGGUAGGCUCAUACCUACCUUAUCAAAACCAUAGAAUUUUUUCUCUGCAUUUUUUAUUUUCGGCAAUACAAAGAAAACCGUUCUAACCCUUGCAAGAGUAUUUCUAAAGUUGCACUUUAAAAUUUUACUCAUAAUUCCUUCUAAUUGUCAUCUUUAUGAUGCUGUGUUAAGGAUUUCCUUAAACCUCCCUUAAAAUCGCAAUGUAAAAUAUACUUUUAUAUGUAUAUAUAUAUAUAUACUAUAAUAUAUAAUAUUCUUGAGGAAAGCAGCUGUGUAAAGAGCAUUUAUGAACAAGGCCUUGAAAGAAAGCAUUCCUGUACAAAUUUUUUUUUUCCUGAUACUCUGAGCUCUGAAAUCAAUUCAAGGAACACAACUUAAAUCACAAGUCUUGACCAACGAAUAAACUUACUGUCUUAUUCUUUGAAUAAUUGAUUCAUCAGUUAUAAUGCUUCUCAUCUUCACCAGGCGCUUACUUAUGGAUGUAAGUUACUUUGCUUCAAACCUAGUCACUCAUAUUUUGCAAGUAUUGUAACAGGAAGAUUUUAAACAGUGCUUGUAUGGUUAAGAAUUUCGUGUUUUAAGUACUGUAACUAUUAAUGAUUCAUGUGCCUCAAUCGGUAUAAUUCAAUUGAAUUUGUUCAUGAAGGAGACCCUUAGUUGGUCUUUUAGAAUAAGUGUAGUUGCAGUGGAAAUACUAUCUUUGAUAUGAUUCUUGUCAUUCAAGCAGUCACUUAAGUCAUGCUUCGUAUAAUUAUGGCCUGCUUGACGAAAAGAAACAACAUGCAAAAAUGGAUAGCAGGACAGCCAAAAAACAUUGAGUUUCUUUUCUUCUCAAGUUCAAGAAUUCCAAGAUAGAAGUUCCUCCUGGGCUUUCUGGUGAUGCCCUCCAAAUGCAUGAUGAGAGAUUCAUAAAAUGAUAUCAAACAUGGAAGAUGAACUUUUUAAAUCAAUAUUUCCAUUUUUUUUCUUCAAGAAGGAUUUUGCUUUCAUUGAACAAAGAAUUUCUUGAGAUUUCCUUCCCUAAAAGUGUUUUAGUCUCUGACAAAAAUGUAAUAGUCCCUGCUUUAAAGGCACUUACCUAAUCAGCUACCUAAACUUGCAAAUAGUUUCUCAAAUUUAAAAUGUUUCCAAUCUAAAAAAUUGACCAAUAAACUUGGCUCCUUUCCUUCUUUGAGGUCUUUCAAACUUCUACCAUUUUUAUGGUAAGUGAAAUCUUCUUCCAUCGCUUAUCAUGUUUAAUACCGUAAAAAUCCCUUCUUGCAUUUGGCAAUUUCCUGAAAAAUACUUGAUCUCAACAGAAAUUCCUCCUGUGGGAUGAGAUAUUCAGCUUUCAUUAGCUUUCAUCUUCAUUUUUAAUUACAACAUUAUUGUAUGCUUCUAUUUAUGUUUGUACCUACAUCAUCUCAUGAUCUUAAAAUUAGAAUCAUGUCAGACCAUUUACAACGACCAUAUGAAGAUUUUAUGUGUGUGAUAAAAGUGUAAAUAAAUUAAACCCUUACGCCGUUAUAAAACCGUUGCGUAGCCAGGACUGAUAGAAGUGGCACGUAUGGAGGACCAUAAUGCAACAUUUUUAAACUCUAGUCAAUUUUACGAAAAUUUUAAAAACUACUUUUAUUCAUUUAAUGUAAAGAUAUCUGUUGUGUUCUCUCAUCGAAUUUCCCUCAUUUCUCACUGCACACUAAAAUGAGUGAAAAACCCAUUGAUGUGAAAAAUCCUCUCAUCAAAAAUUUUCCUCAAUUCUUUAAAGGUUGCUUCUCAAAGUCAAUUUUAUCUGACCUACCGAACAAAGUUUUAAAUGUAUUGGGAGGUCUGGCUCAAAUAUAUCCUACUUUUUAUUCGUAGGAUUGAAAGAGUUUUGUAACCAAAUGUUAUAGUUUGCUAAAAGUUUGAUAAGAUCUAAUGAUGAAGAUCUGAGUCUCUAUACUUUUUAAGCAUCUGUAGUGUUACUUUACACAGAUUGAUCAUUCUCUGUUUUACUUAGUCAAGCUAAAGAUGGUAUCAUUUCUAACUUACACUCGGAAUCGAAGUCUUUCUGAAAAUCCACCAUUAAAUUCCAACAUAUCCACCAACUUCGUUUGCAACACUUGAACUAUGAGUGAUCAAAAUUGGAAGCUUUUAUAUAGCCCAAAGUACUUUAGAAGUUAUUUAAAAGGUAGAAAUGGGCCAGUAUAAAUUGUUCAAUUUAAACAAUGAAGUUAUAUUUAUAUAUUACCUUUUUAAAAUUUCGAGAAGCAAGUGGAGAAUCGGAAAUUAAUUCAUCCUCCAUCUUUCUGGGCGGUUCGCAUUUGACUUUAAUUGAUUGUAACUAAAAAUAUUAAAUGUUAUGAAAAUUGCAUAAUGUUUUAGAUCGAACUUGGUUGCAUAAUAAGCACCAAAAGCGAGAGAUUUCGCAAGAGAGUUCCUGCAAUACUGAACGUCAAAAAAGCAACUUGAUUUCAUGAUUAUGUGGAGGAAUCAAGUGUCUGUGGAUAUUGUCUCUUCUUCGGACAGCUUUCUUUGUUGGUAGCUUACAACUAGUUGAGUGAAAAGAUGAAAAGUGGCCACCACCAUUUACAUGUAUGUUCUCAAGGUUCAUUAUGUGCAUCCUUUUCUCAAUUAAAUGCUGUAUGGGGAAGUAGGUAAAGAAAUGCUUUGAUUUAAAUCUUGUCCAUUUGCUUAUUUUUUAGAUCAGCUCACUCAGAACCUUUAAAAAAAAUCCUAUCACAAGUAGCUUAGAACUGUGCACACAGAGAAUUUAUUCUAGUUGGCAGUUCAGAUUCUAUGCCUGCCUGUCUAGCAGUUUUCUCUGGAAAGGUUGCAGAAACGUUUUUAAACUGAGUUUUGCAACUUUCGGCAACCAUUGCGGUGCAGGUGUAUUUUACUUUUUCCAAAAAAUUUAUUGCAUUAAGACUGACCAUUUGUUUUAUUAUUUUUAUUCAGAUGUCAAUUUACUUGGGUUUUUUUCACAAAUCUCCGAUUUAGCUUACCAUUGGGCCUUGUAAAUCUUUGUAUUCUAACAUUAUUUUUGUAAAACUAUGCGCUCACAGAAAUUAAGCUUUUAUUCUUCAAUAUUUAUCUGUCUAAUUUAUCUGCAUUCAAAGUAUGCAGCCGUAUUUGCAAUUAAAAUGAUCAGGUCAUUACUCAAUUUUUGUUAGUUUGAGGUUUAUGAGGGAAAAAUUCUCUGUUCACCAUUGCUGGCAGUUUCAUCCAUGACUUUAAGAAACUGGAUUUCUCAUCACUUGUCAGAACUAUUUUUUGUGCCUGAGGCCCGCACUCAAUGAGUGUCUAAAAUUCAGCUAAUACAGAUCCUUUAUGAUCAAAAUCAGCAUGGUACUCAAAGUGGCUGUAUAUUACAAAUUUUGACGAACCGAAGAUGUAACCCUAGCCAUUAGAAAGUUUGAUAAAAAUGGAAAUUAUGCACCAACAGUUACUGUCCACAAUUUUUGCCAGUCAUUUUCUUCUCCUGACUGACAAUAAAGCACUAGGAAACUCCAAGUAUUUUUACUUUUUUUUGUGUGCUUUGAAGCGGGGAGAAAUCAUUUUACGGUAACUUCUGUCCCCGCCGUCUCUACCAGUCGCAAGCAACCAAGAUAGGGGUCAAAACCGCAAGUACCCAGCGUAGACAGGGAUUGAGGCAUGCUUGAUGUUCAGCAGUGGGCAAAUGGGCUCAGACCCUGACUCCAAACCCCUGUCAACCGUAUAAAGGUCGGCAGUUUUCCCAGUAAAAUUUCUGAUCAAUUGAAGGACAAUCCAAGUUAAAAAUUGCUACUUGCAAAGCAUCACAAGAGAACACAGCACUGUCAGCAUGAGAGAAUGAUUCCCUUUCAACUUAUGUUUCCUCUUUGAACAGUGUCCCAUUUCAGCAAGAAAAACUAGUUUAGAUCAGGGGUGCAAAUAUUUCUUCAGAGCAAAAAUUGUUGUUUUCUCAGUCUCAAAAUUUCUUCAUUAAACAAGCAGAAAUGUGAAGAGUAUGCGCUGACCCAAAAAAUUUAAAAAUGUGUGCCUUUUCCUUUUUUUCAUUAAAAAUAACAGGUUCUCAUCAAAGAUUCCCUCUUGGGCGAAUUGAGGCUGGCACGCUCAAGCAUUUUUUUGCACCCUUGGUAAAGAUAAUAUAGGGUUCAAAUAAUUGAGAGUCCACAGCUAUUUCAUUCAUUCAGAAAUGUAUGUUUUGGUUCUUUGGCUGAUGCCGAAACCUUGCAACACCUCAGCAAAACCCUUCACUCUAAGUUGUUCUAAUUGUUUUCUUUUUUGUUGAUCAAUUUGUUUAACUUUGAAUGUACCAAAUCUUUUGGUUUGUUUUUGUUUUGUACAAGUAGUUUUAAUUUUUUUGUUUAAUUUGCUGUUGAGUAUGAGUGAUUGAGGAGGUGGCUGCAAAAAAGCAUGUGUGAAAACCGUGUGUUAUACAAAUAGAAAUAAUUCAUAAAUCUUAGUGCAACUCUUCCUCAACAUCUGUUCUAAUUAUGAAAACGCAAAAA
RNAcentral lists this long non-coding RNA (5479 nucleotides) under Bemisia tabaci. RNAcentral's name for it is "lncRNA ENSSSA3NGG004194". Lineage: Eukaryota; Metazoa; Arthropoda; Insecta; Hemiptera; Aleyrodidae. The record is from RNAcentral.